Molecule: ribosomal RNA, 330 nt
Filed under: uncultured bacterium
Lineage: Bacteria
Description: bacterial SSU rRNA
Rfam family: Bacterial small subunit ribosomal RNA
Source: RNAcentral
CGUGUAGGCGGCUCAUCAAGUCUGGUGUGAAAACGCAAGGCUUAACCUUGCGGAUGCGCUGGAAACUGGUGGGCUUGAGUUCUUGAGGGGAAGCUGGAAUUCCAGGUGUAGGGGUGAAAUCUGUAGAUAUCUGGAAGAACACCGGUGGCGAAGGCGAGCUUCUAUCAGAGGACUGACGCUGAGGCGCGAAAGCGUGGGGAGCAAACAGGAUUAGAUACCCUGGUAGUCCACGCUGUAAACGAUGUGCACUAGGCGUGGGGCACGUACGUGCUCUGUGCCGUAGUUAACGUGAUAAGUGCACCGCCUGGGGAGUAUGCUCGCAAGGGUGAA